AACGAACGCUGGCGGCAUGCCUAACACAUGCAAGUCGAACGAGACCUUCGGGUCUCGUGGCGCACGGGUGCGUAACGCGUGGGAACCUGCCCUUAGGUUCGGAAUAACUCCCCGAAAGGGGUGCUAAUACCGGAUAAUGUCUUCGGACCAAAGAUUUAUCGCCUUUGGAUGGGCCCGCGUUGGAUUAGCUAGUUGGUAGGGUAAAAGCCUACCAAGGCGACGAUCCAUAGCUGGUCUGAGAGGAUGAUCAGCCACACUGGGACUGAGACACGGCCCAGACUCCUACGGGAGGCAGCAGUGGGGAAUAUUGGACAAUGGGCGAAAGCCUGAGCCAGCAAUGCCGCGUGAGUGAUGAAGGCCUUAGGGUUGUAAAGCUCUUUUACCCGGGAUGAUAAUGACAGUACCGGGAGAAUAAGCUCCGGCUAACUCCGUG
RNAcentral lists this ribosomal RNA (433 nucleotides) under uncultured bacterium. RNAcentral describes it as "partial 16S ribosomal RNA". It matches the Rfam family "Bacterial small subunit ribosomal RNA", at positions 29 to 507 of the family's 1533-position model. The record is from RNAcentral.